Molecule: microRNA, 23 nt
Filed under: Parasteatoda tepidariorum (common house spider)
Lineage: Eukaryota; Metazoa; Arthropoda; Arachnida; Araneae; Theridiidae
Description: pte-miR-35y-3p
Gene: pte-miR-35y-3p
Source: miRBase by way of RNAcentral
ACACCAAUUCGUUCAUUUGCUUU